GACGAACGCUGGCGGCGUGCUUAACACAUGCAAGUCGAACGGAAAGGCCCUGCUUUUGUGGGGUGCUCGAGUGGCGAACGGGUGAGUAACACGUGAGUAACCUGCUCUUGACUUUGGGAUAACUUCAGGAAACUGGGGCUAAUACCGGAUAGGAGCCCCUGCUGCAUGGUGGGGGGUGGAAAGUUUCGGCGGUUGGGGAUGGACGCGCGGCUUAUCAGCUUGUUGGUGGGGGAGUGGCUUACCAAGGCUUUGACGGGUAGCCGGCCUGAGAGGGUGACCGGCGACAUUGGGACUACGAUACGGCCCAGACUCCUACGGGGGGCAGCAGUGGGGAAUAUUGCACAAUGGGCGGAAGCCUGAUGCAGCAGCGCCGCGUGCGUGAUGACGGCCUUCGGGUUGUAAACCGCUUUCGCCUGUGACGAAGCGUGAGUGACGGUAAUGGGUAAAGAAGCACCGGCUAACUACGUG
RNAcentral lists this ribosomal RNA (468 nucleotides) under uncultured bacterium. RNAcentral's name for it is "partial 16S ribosomal RNA". It matches the Rfam family "Bacterial small subunit ribosomal RNA", at positions 28 to 507 of the family's 1533-position model. The record is from RNAcentral.